ACAAAGGCUCUUUUAAGAGCCACAUUAAAUUUUCUAAGAGGUGCUUG
Molecule: non-coding RNA, 47 nt
Organism: Takifugu rubripes (torafugu)
Lineage: Eukaryota; Metazoa; Chordata; Actinopteri; Tetraodontiformes; Tetraodontidae
Source: Rfam